ACGCUCGACACCUACGGGGAGGCAGCAGUAGGGAAUCUUCCACAAUGGACGCAAGUCUGAUGGAGCAACGCCGCGUGAGUGAAGAAGGUCUUCGGAUCGUAAAACUCUGUUGUUAGAGAAGAGCACGAGUGAGAGUAACUGUUCAUUCGAUGACGGUAUCUAACCAGCAAGUCACGGCUAACUACGUCCCAGCAGCCGCGGUAAUCUGAGCGGGCUGGCAAGGC
This 224-nucleotide ribosomal RNA is filed under the name uncultured bacterium. RNAcentral's name for it is "partial 16S ribosomal RNA". It matches the Rfam family "Bacterial small subunit ribosomal RNA", at positions 328 to 539 of the family's 1533-position model. The record is from RNAcentral.